RNAcentral lists this ribosomal RNA (518 nucleotides) under Chelonoidis duncanensis (Duncan Island giant tortoise). Its description in RNAcentral is "partial 12S ribosomal RNA". It matches the Rfam family "Bacterial small subunit ribosomal RNA", at positions 790 to 1533 of the family's 1533-position model. Lineage: Eukaryota; Metazoa; Chordata; Testudines; Testudinidae. The record is from RNAcentral.
CUAUGCUUAGCCCUAAACCCAGAUAUUUAACACACAAAAAUAUCCGCCAGAGAACUACGAGCAUAACGCUUAAAACUCUAAGGACUUGGCGGUGCCUUAAACCCCCCUAGAGGAGCCUGUUCUAUAAUCGAUAAUCCACGAUCCACCUCACCAUCUCUUGCCAGUACCGCCUAUAUACCGCCGUCACUAGCCUACCCUAUGAAGGAUAUAAAAGUAAGCAAAACAGCCAACAAUAGCUAAUAAGUCAGGUCAAGGUGUAGCUAACUGAGAUGGAAGAAAUGGGCUACAUUUUCUAAACUAGAAAUUAUCUCACGGAAAGAACCAUGAAACAAGUUCUACAAGCAGGAUUUAGCAGUAAACAAGGAUUAGAAUGCCCAAUUUAAGCCGGUCCUAAGGCACGCACACACCGCCCGUCACCCUCCUCAAAUCAACAUCACCUAUAAAUAAAACCACAACAAAUAAACAGAUGAGGCAAGUCGUAACAAGGUAAGUAUACCGGAAGGUGUACUUGGAACAUU